Molecule: ribosomal RNA, 570 nt
Filed under: Triticum aestivum (bread wheat)
Lineage: Eukaryota; Viridiplantae; Streptophyta; Magnoliopsida; Poales; Poaceae
Description: partial small subunit ribosomal RNA
Source: RNAcentral
AUGGGUAAGGAUAAGGUAAUGGAAUUGAUAGAGAAAUUCAUAGACCUAGGUAGGAUAGGAAAAUUGAUAAAGGGAAUAGAGAUGAUGAUAGAGAUCAUACUGAGAAAGAGGAUAAUUCCGUACGGGUACAACUCUUAUUUGAACGAAGUGCAAAAAAUGCGAUCUUUUUUGUCUAAUAGAACAAACACUAAUACCUUAAUUGAGUCGGUAAAGAUCAAAUCUGUUUAUCAAAGUGCUUCUCUGAUUGCUCAAGACAUCUCUUUUCAACUGAGGAACAAUCCAAUCUCAUUUCGUUCCAUUUUUAGUAAAAUAGUGAAGGAUAUUCCAUUAAUAAUGCCAAAAGGGGUGGAGGGGAUACGUAUUUGUUGUUCUGGUCGAUUAGGGGGUGCGGAAAUAGCUAGAACUGAAUGCGGAAAGUAUGGAAAAACAUCUUGUAAUGUAUUUAACCAGAAAAUCGAUUAUGCUCCUGCGGAAGUAUCUACUCGUAACGGAAUUUCAGGUGUCAAAGUGCGGAUCUCAUAUAGUCAAAAUAAGAAGGGACGUGCUAUAUCCAAAAUGUACGAAAUAUAG